This 915-nucleotide ribosomal RNA is filed under the name uncultured marine archaeon DCM862. RNAcentral describes it as "bacterial SSU rRNA". It matches the Rfam family "Archaeal small subunit ribosomal RNA", at positions 1 to 922 of the family's 1478-position model. The record is from RNAcentral.
UUCCGGUUGAUCCUGCCGGACCUGACUGCUAUCGGAUUGAGACUAAGCCAUGCAAGUCUUUGUAGUAAUACAAGGCGUACGGCUCAGUAACGCGUAGUCAACCUACCCUAUGGAUGGGGAUAAUCUCGGGAAACUGAGCAUAAUACCCAAUAGAUCAUCAAUUCUGGAAUGGUUGAUGAUUCAAAUGAUUUUUCGCCAUAGGAUGGGACUGCGGCCUAUCAGCUUGUUGGUGAGGUAAUGGCCCACCAAGGCAAUUACAGGUACGGGCUCUGAGAGGAGAAGCCCGGAGAUGGGUACUGAGACAAGGACCCAGGCCCUAUGGGGCGCAGCAGGCGAGAAAACUUUGCAAUGUGCGAAAGCACGACAAGGUUAAUCCGAGUGAUUUCUGCUAAAGGAAUCUUUUACCAGUUCUAAAAAUACUGGCGAAUAAGGGGUGGGGCAAGUUCUGGUGUCAGCCGCCGCGGUAAAACCAGCACCUCAAGUGGUCAGGAGGAUUAUUGGGCCUAAAGCAUCCGUAGCCGGCUCUGUAAGUUUUCGGUUAAAUCUAUAUGCUCAACGUAUAGGCUGCCGAAAAUACUGCACAGCUAGGGAAUGGGAGAGGUAGACGGUACUCGGUAGGAAGGGGUAAAAUCCUUUGAUCUAUCGAUGACCACCUGUGGCGAAGGCGGUCUACCAGAACAUGUUCGACGGUGAGGGAUGAAAGCUGGGGGAGCAAACCGGAUUAGAUACCCGGGUAGUCCCAGCUGUAAACGAUGCAGACUCGAUAAUGCAUUGGCACAUAGCCAGUGCAGUGUCGCAGGGAAGCCGUUAAGUCUGCCGCCUGGGAAGUACGUACGCAAGUAUGAAACUUAAAGGAAUUGGCGGGGGAGCACCACAAGGGGUGAAGCCUGCGGUUCAAUUGGAUUCAACGCCGGA